Long non-coding RNA from Anopheles stephensi (Asian malaria mosquito), 439 nucleotides. RefSeq lists it as uncharacterized. The transcript is spliced from 2 exons. The record is from RefSeq and is a predicted model, not a curated record. NCBI's taxonomy places the organism in Eukaryota, Metazoa, Arthropoda, Insecta, Diptera, Culicidae.
GCACUCUUCCAGCGUACGCCAACCCAGCGCUCAUUUCGCUGUAUGGCGGAUUAGGAUCAACUAUUACCUCUACCGCCUCAUUGAACAGCAAGUGCGCUCGUGGUUUAGCACAAAACAUUGGCCCGUCAAGAGGUAUCGGUGCAUUUUUCGAAUGUAUAUAUACUGCCAUGUGCUAGCUGCACGAGGUUUUAAGCGCCAUCGGUGAAGGGAAAAUGUUUGGCCGCUGAUAAAUGAUGCAUGUUGCAUGCCCGUUCCUGUCCUGCAAUGGCAUCUAAUACUUUCAGCUGCUGUGCGGUGAGCACGAAAUCGAAAACAUCCAUAUUUUCUUGCUGACGGGAACGGUUGCUAGAUUUUACUAUCGGAACAACGCCGCCAUCGAUCUGAAAUAAUAAAAGUACAUUACAUGACUGUUACGAUGAAGCAGUUGGCACAAUACUCA